This 32-nucleotide ribosomal RNA is filed under the name Aspergillus niger. RNAcentral's name for it is "partial small subunit ribosomal RNA". Lineage: Eukaryota; Fungi; Ascomycota; Eurotiomycetes; Eurotiales; Aspergillaceae. The record is from RNAcentral.
ACGUCGUAGGUGAACCUGCGGAAGGAUCAUUA